Molecule: ribosomal RNA, 478 nt
Filed under: uncultured bacterium
Lineage: Bacteria
Description: partial 16S ribosomal RNA
Rfam family: Bacterial small subunit ribosomal RNA
Source: RNAcentral
GAUGAACGCUGGCGGCGUGCUUAACACAUGCAAGUCGAACGGGAAACCUUUUAUUGAAGCUUCUGCAGAUUUAGCUGGCUUCUAGUGGCGGCCGGGUGAGUAACGCGUGGGUAACCUGCCUUAUACAGGGGGAUAACAACCAGACAUGGUUGCUAAUACCGCAUAAGCGCACAGGACCGCAUGGUCCGGUGUGCAAAACUCCGGUGGUAUAAGAUGGACCCGCGUUGGAUUAGCUAGUUGGCAGGGUAACGGCCUACCAAGGCGGCGAACCAGAACCGGCAGGGGAGGCUGAACGGCAACAUUGGGGCUAAGGCACAGACCAGACUGGUAGGGGAGGAAGCAGAGGAGAAUAUUGAAAGCUGGGGGAAACCGUAGUGAAGCGACGAGGGGUGAAAGAGGAAGUAUAUCGGUAAGUAAACUUCUAUCAGCAGGGAAGAGAGUGACGGUAACUGACAAAGAAGCCCCGGCUAACUACGUG